This 395-nucleotide ribosomal RNA is filed under the name Saprospira grandis DSM 2844. RNAcentral's name for it is "partial 16S ribosomal RNA". It matches the Rfam family "Bacterial small subunit ribosomal RNA", at positions 19 to 413 of the family's 1533-position model. Lineage: Bacteria; Pseudomonadati; Bacteroidota; Saprospiria; Saprospirales; Saprospiraceae. The record is from RNAcentral.
CUGGCUCAGGAUGAACGCUAGCGGCAGGCUUAAUACAUGCAAGUCGAACGGUAACAGGUCCUUCGGGACGCUGACGAGUGGCGCACGGGUGAGUAACGCGUACACAAUCUGCCUUCAUCAGGGGGAAAGUCACUGGAAACGGUGAAUAAUCCCGCAUACAACUCUUAGAUGGCAUCAUCAUAGAGUAAAAGCUCCGGCGGAUGAAGAUGAGUGUGCGUCUGAUUAGCUAGAUGGUGAGGUAACGGCUCACCAUGGCAACGAUCAGUAGGGGGCGUGAGAGCGUGAUCCCCCACACGGGUACUGAGACACGGACCCGACUCCUACGGGAGGCAGCAGUAAGGAAUAUUGGGCAAUGGACGAAAGUCUGACCCAGCCAUGCCGCGUGCGGGAAGAAG